GGGCACUUGGCACAGUUGGUAGCGCGCACGCUUCGCAUAUAGAUUGCGUGAGGUCGUGGGUUCAACUCCCACAGUGUCCA
Suillus luteus is the source of this 80-nucleotide transfer RNA. It matches the Rfam family "tRNA". From Rfam's summary of the family: Transfer RNA (tRNA) molecules are approximately 80 nucleotides in length. The record is from Rfam. Lineage: Eukaryota; Fungi; Basidiomycota; Agaricomycetes; Boletales; Suillaceae.